Molecule: ribosomal RNA, 163 nt
Filed under: Schulzia albiflora
Lineage: Eukaryota; Viridiplantae; Streptophyta; Magnoliopsida; Apiales; Apiaceae
Description: 5.8S ribosomal RNA
Rfam family: 5.8S ribosomal RNA
About the family: 5.8S ribosomal RNA (5.8S rRNA) is a component of the large subunit of the eukaryotic ribosome. It is transcribed by RNA polymerase I as part of the 45S precursor that also contains 18S and 28S rRNA. Functionally, it is thought that 5.8S rRNA may be involved in ribosome translocation.
Source: RNAcentral
AAACGACUCUCGACAACGGAUAUCCCGGCUCUCGCAUCGAUGAAGAACGUAGCGAAAUGCGAUACUUGGUGUGAAUUGCAGAAUCCCGUGAACCAUCGAGUCUUUGAACGCAAGUUGCGCCCGAAGCCAUUAGGCUGAGGGCACGUCUGCCUGGGUGUCACGC